Non-coding RNA from Biomphalaria pfeifferi, 235 nucleotides. The record is from the annotation of a GenBank genome assembly. NCBI's taxonomy places the organism in Eukaryota, Metazoa, Mollusca, Gastropoda, Planorbidae.
CUGAAGAAAGAUUUCUACAAACCUUGUGACAUGGCCAUAAAGUCUCAGUUUCCGUUUUUUUUUUGUUACAGUGUUUAGAAGGUCAUCGUGGGGUCCGUUUGUGAUCCUUUUUCUACACUCCUCGUUUGUGAUAGGUCUUUGUAGGUGAUCAAUUCUAUUGUUAGAAUCCUUCUUUAUAGUUCUGCAGUUAGCGUACAAGUUUCGCAAGCAUACAAUAAUGUGGCCAUGACCAAGG